This 275-nucleotide ribosomal RNA is filed under the name uncultured Opitutus sp. RNAcentral describes it as "partial 16S ribosomal RNA". It matches the Rfam family "Bacterial small subunit ribosomal RNA", at positions 338 to 606 of the family's 1533-position model. Lineage: Bacteria; Pseudomonadati; Verrucomicrobiota; Opitutia; Opitutales; Opitutaceae. The record is from RNAcentral.
CCUACGGGGGGCUGCAGUUUCGAAUCAUUCACAAUGGGCGAAAGCCUGAUGGUGCGACGCCGCGUGAGGGAUGAAGGCCUUCGGGUUGUAAACCUCUGUCACCGGGGAAGAAACGCUAUACGUGAACAUCGUGUAGCCUGACUUAACCCGGAGAGGAAGCAGUGGCUAACUCUGUGCCAGCAGCCGCGGUAAUACAGAGACUGCAAGCGUUAUUCGGAUUCACUGGGCGUAAAGGGUGCGCAGGCGGUUUUGUGUGUCAGGUGUGAAAGCCCGGA